UUCACCUUCUGCCAUGAGUGUAAAUUUCCUGAGGCCUCCCCAGUCAUGCUGAACUAAUCGUCAGCAUAUCCUCAUUCUUCUUGGACAUGGGACAAGAGGUCGAGAUCCACCAACACAGGU
This 120-nucleotide long non-coding RNA is filed under the name Papio anubis (olive baboon). Its description in RNAcentral is "lncRNA (ENSPANG00000048904.1)". Lineage: Eukaryota; Metazoa; Chordata; Mammalia; Primates; Cercopithecidae. The record is from RNAcentral.